Molecule: RNA transcript, 1309 nt
Organism: Galendromus occidentalis (western predatory mite)
Lineage: Eukaryota; Metazoa; Arthropoda; Arachnida; Mesostigmata; Phytoseiidae
Gene name: nucleoporin Nup43
Exons: 6
Source: RefSeq, a predicted model, not a curated record
AUGCUCACAUGCGGUCCAUCCCCCCGCAUAGCUCGAGCUGGGAACCUUGAGGGGUUCGUGCCCUGGGAGUCCAAGAGCUCAGUCGUGAGCUCUCUGGGAGCGUCUAAAAUAAUUGGCAAAAAAAUCGCCAAGCUGCGCUUCAUGCCCAUCAAGGAGGUGACAGCAGCCCAGCGCGAAACGAUCCUGGCCGUGGCUUCUUGGGACGAUGACGACAGUGUCAUCCAGCUCUGGAGCAUCUCACGGGACCAAGAAACCGACGAACAAUGCGAGACCCACGUCAUUGCUCAAGCCAAUAUGAAGGGCGAUGUUGCCGCCAUGGAGUUCAUCGAUCCCGAAAACCUCAUCGUUGCUACAUCCGCCAGCGAGCUGGUCUUGAAUGCUCUGUAUCGGUACUCCAUCAAAGAAACCCGACGAUGGCCAGCGGCGAUCGAAUGCGCGAUGCCCUAUUCAGGUCUCGCCGUGAGACAAGGGACCGAAGGCGCGGAAGUUGUUACGGUCGGAGAGGAUGGUUACAUCAAGAGAUUCAUACUCAAAGAUCCCAAAGACAAACCCGCCCAGUCGAUCGAGUCGGGAGCCGGCUCCCUCACCUGCGUAGCCUACCUCGGUCAGAAUGAAGUUAGUGUGGGAAACCUCGCGGGUCGCGUCAAAAUUUUCGACCUCAAGAAUACCAAAGAAGUUCGAGCAUGCUCACUGUGACUCGCCCGGGAUGCGUCAAGACGACCCGGUCGGCAUCACAUGCAUACUGCAGCACCCAUAUCAGCCCCAUUUGGUAUUCGGUGGUACGGAAGCGGGCUCGAUUUGCGUUUUGGAUCUCCGCCAAGAAGAUCAACCUAAUCCGUCCGCGUUCUACAACUGCCAUACCGUUCUCAUUCCCGAGUUACGUUUCCACGCAUUGUCUACUUCCCAUCUCAUGAUCGUGUGCUACGACGGAACCGCUCUGUGGUGGAACGCGAGCAAACUCAUGAGUCCAUCCGAGACCACGGCCGAUCUCGCGUCCUACCGAGAACUGAAGAGAACCGAGAAUUCCGACACGAGUGGUUGGCUGAUGCCGGAUGUAAUGAAGGACCGUAUGGAAAUUGAGAGACUCGAGGAACCGUCGAUAUUCUGUGUGAACUCAGUCGACUCUAGCGGCGAUUUGGUCGCAGUCGGUGGUGAUUCGGAGAUGCUACAGAUUUUUUCUAUUCCUGUGUAAAUAUAUUGCUAUCCGAGCUGAGCGACGGCGGAAAGAGUGACACCAUGUUCUAAUAUAUUCUCUCAUGAGAGCGGAUAUUGGUGGCAGUCCCACAUUGGUAUCCAUAAAGACACCUCU